CCAGCAGCCGCGGUAAUUCCAGCUCCAAUAGCGUAUGCUAAAGUUGUUGCAGUUAAAAGGCUCGUAGUCUAACUUAUGGCCUCGUGAACCCUGUCUAUCCUCUAGUAGGUUACGAACAGGUGUGCAUGGGUCAUUUUUCUGAAAAGUAUUGCUGCCCUUCACUGGGUUUGCUUUAUAAUUCAGAUCAUUUACUGUGAGUAAAUCAAAGUGUUCAAAGCAGGCUUUAAUGCUUGUAUGUUUCAGUAUGGAAUAAUAAGAUAAGACUUCAGUUUUACUUGUUGGCUAUGAAACCAAAGUAAUGAUUGAAAGGGAUAGUUGGGGGUGCUAGUAUUCGGUGGUCAGCGGUGAAAUGCGAGGACCCAUUGAAGACUAACUUAUGCGAAAGCAUUCACCAAGGAUAUCUUCUUUGAUCAAG
This 415-nucleotide ribosomal RNA is filed under the name uncultured eukaryote. Its description in RNAcentral is "SSU rRNA". It matches the Rfam family "Eukaryotic small subunit ribosomal RNA", at positions 567 to 981 of the family's 1831-position model. The record is from RNAcentral.